GACGAACGCUGGCGGCGUGCUUAACACAUGCAAGUCGAGGGGCAGCAUUAUCUUAGCUUGCUAAGAUAGAUGGCGACCGGCGCACGGGUGAGUAACACGUAUCCAACCUUCCGGUUACUCGGGGAUAGGCUUUCGAAAGAAAGAUUAAUACCCGAUGUUGCGUAUCUUUCUCCUGAAAGAUACGCCAAAGGAUUCCGGUAACCGAUGGGGAUGCGUUCCAUUAGGCAGUUGGCGGGGUAACGGCCCACCAAACCUUCGAUGGAUAGGGGUUCUGAGAGGAAGGUCCCCCACAUUGGAACUGAGACACGGUCCAA
RNAcentral lists this ribosomal RNA (314 nucleotides) under uncultured bacterium. RNAcentral's name for it is "bacterial SSU rRNA". It matches the Rfam family "Bacterial small subunit ribosomal RNA", at positions 28 to 334 of the family's 1533-position model. The record is from RNAcentral.